UAGGGAAUCUUCGGCAAUGGACGAAAGUCUGACCGAGCAACGCCGCGUGAGUGAAGAAGGUUUUCGGAUCGUAAAACUCUGUUGUUAGAGAAGAACAAGGAUGAGAAGAGAAUGUUCAUCCCUUGACGGUAUCUAACCAGAAAGCCACGGCUAACUACGUGCCAGCAGCCGCGGUAAUACGUAGGUGGCAAGCGUUGUCCGGAUUUAUUGGGCGUAAAAGCGAGCGCAGGCGGUUCUUUAAGUCUGAUGUG
Molecule: ribosomal RNA, 251 nt
Filed under: uncultured bacterium
Lineage: Bacteria
Description: partial 16S ribosomal RNA
Rfam family: Bacterial small subunit ribosomal RNA
Source: RNAcentral